GCCCAGAUAGCUCAGCCUGGGAGAGCGCUGCGCUGAAGACGCAGAAGUCCCCGGUUCAAGUCCGGGUCUGGGCA
RNAcentral lists this transfer RNA (74 nucleotides) under Candidatus Methanoperedens sp. RNAcentral's name for it is "tRNA-Phe". It matches the Rfam family "tRNA". Rfam says of the family: Transfer RNA (tRNA) molecules are approximately 80 nucleotides in length. Their secondary structure includes four short double-helical elements and three loops (D, anti-codon, and T loops). Lineage: Archaea; Methanobacteriati; Methanobacteriota; Methanomicrobia; Methanosarcinales; Candidatus Methanoperedentaceae. The record is from RNAcentral.